This 200-nucleotide unclassified non-coding RNA is filed under the name Annulohypoxylon sp. RNAcentral's name for it is "partial internal transcribed spacer 2". Lineage: Eukaryota; Fungi; Ascomycota; Sordariomycetes; Xylariales; Hypoxylaceae. The record is from RNAcentral.
UUAAGUUCAGCGGGUAUCCCUACCUGAUCCGAGGUCAACCUGAAAAAAAUUGGGGGUUGCUGGCGAGCACACACCCGGACCUCCAGAGCGAGAAGAAUUACUACGCUUAGAGUGUGCUCCAACUCCGCCACUGACUUUAAGGAGCUACGCCGCAAGGGCGUAGGCUCCCAACGCUAAGCUACAGGGCUUAAUGGUCGAAA